UAUUUACAAAGGGCCCACAACAUGUGUCAUUUGGUACUUGUUAUAAAUUUAAAAAUGGAACGUUGGUAAUAAAACCAACUGUGUUGACGUUAUACACGGCCGGCAGUCAUAACUCACAAGUCGGUGUUUGCUGUCCGGCCUGGGAUGCAUGAUUGAACAUACCGAUGACACAAAGGGGCGAUGACGUCAAACCGAGCGUCAUUUCUGAACGAUUGAAUCAAUUGACGUGAUUGGACAAGCAGCAGUAUCCACCCGACACUGUUCCUACGCAGCGGAAGGGGAACACAGGAACUAGGAAGAUAAAGCAAGAUUGGCAUAUUACAUCGAACUUUAUUGAUAAUAGUUUAAUUAAUACGUGCAUGUCUAUCCAAAAUUUAAGACUCAGGGUGAACGAAUUAAAGAUGUAAUUGUGGAGCUGAACGUUUAAAGAAACGAUUAGAACAUACAGGUCGAGGAUAUUUGAUAGAAAUCCUUACAUCCAAAUAUAAUAAGGCCUUCACCUUGAAAUGAGAAAGUUAGCCCUACGUGCGUGAUUGCACGAUUCACUCGUCACCAAGGGAAGACCCUGUAGGCUGUAACUACGUAAAGUCUUUGACAUAAUUUAUCAAUUUAUGUCUAUGACGUGUUUUACAACUAUUAUUUUUUUCUACAAGUAGUCCUAAUUUCUAAUAACACAGAAGGAUGGAUAAGAAAAACCGCUAAUCGACUGAACGAUUAAAACCAGAAUCUGCUUAAUAGUAAGUUUUCAUGAAUUUAUCUGUGUAUUUUAAUAAUAAUUAUGCUAUAAUAAAACUUCUUCCAAUUUAUGGUACCUUAGUACUUUUUAUCGAUCUUCGAACAUGUAUUGGUGAUGUCCAGUUAAAAUAGUUUUGUCUUCGAUGAUACGUGAAGCUAUUCCGUAUCACGUCGUAGAAUUUUCAUAGGAUUAUGAAAUAAUGACUAAACACAAUCGAUAAGAGUGGUAGAAAGUUAUCUACUGACUAGAUAAGCCUUUACGAGCUGGAUACUGCAAAAAAAUUGAGCUUUGCAGCUCUUUCACGCUAACCGUUUUGCAAGUGUCAUUCGCAGUACACUUCCAUACGAUAUUAACUACACAGAUUUUGUGAAUACAUUUUAUGCAGAAAUUCUCACAGUGAAUGCUAGCUUUAAUACACUUCUACUCCAUACUUCUGACAGGCCAUUAAGGAUUUGCUAGACAUGUGGCAAAAGGAAAUUAUAUUCUUUCAUCGUCCAGCAAAGGUCUUCCGCUUGACUUGAGGUGCUUCCCUUUAUUACUUAAUGAUUAUGUAGUUCAUACAAAAUCUCAAAAUAUAAUGUUAUAGUUGAGUAUAAUAAUGAGUUAUAAGAAAGUUAUAAGAAAUCAGAACAAUCUAUGACAAAGAUAGAUUUAUUAAUGUGGGAAAUACUUAUCAUGUAAUGUAUUAUUUACCUACGGAAAUACAUCAUUUACUUGAAUGUCAAUAACACGAUCAGGAUAUCAAAUUUAGGAAGCCUAUAGCAAAUUUAACUGGUGCUCUAUCAUUUGGUAGAGCGUACAAACUAAGAAUAAAAAGACCCAUAGCUCUGGUAUGAAGAAUUUAUUAAUUACUAAGUGUUACUCGAGGCUUUGGCUGCAUAUCUUGGAAUAUCUUUUCCUGCUACAUAAGUGCCUAAAAUACAGUACCGAUUUAUAGCGCCACGAGAACGAUACCGGCUUCAUCUAAUUAAAAAAUCUGAUUCCAUUAUUUCCCAUGCUAGCUAAAAACCUGGAUAAAAAGUAUGUGUUAAUUCAGGACAUGGUCUCUCUGUGUGGCUAAAUUCAUCCAAAUUCGUUCCGCUAUUUAUUUGUUUACUUCUAACAAACACCCAAACGUCGAAAUACCCAAACAUUGUACAAACUUUCGCAUUUAUAAUAUUAGUAAAAUUUCUUAGAUGUCAGUUUUGUUUCCAUUUCAAAUGACCUAAUCGAGUAGGGUUAUUAAUGUAAGACUACAUUUUGCACAUUGAUUGACAAAUUAUUUGUUAUAUUCAGUCUCUUUUAUCAUUUAUAAACUUCACAAUGACAUUGCAAGACCUUGGGAGACCAUACAUUGCAUCGGUGGUAAAUUGAGAGUUUCUAUCUUUUAUUGCAAUAAUGUAUUUAUAUAUUAAUACCUAUAGCUACACAGUCAUACGUUUGCUGUAUUGCAUCAUCACACAGUUCUAUAUCACUAAUAGAGCGAGAAUCAUUCAAGUGAGAAUAUUUACAAUUUUGACUCGGUAAACCUGAAGCCAAUAGGAAAAAUACAACUAAAUAAUUCACUCACCUGUUGUUUUAUACGCAAAAACAGUUUAUUUACGAAGAAACUGCGCUAUUCAUGGUUUUAAGUAAGUUGUUUGUUAUUGUUGGCAUUUUCUAAAAUUAGAAGUGUUUUUAAUAUUCCUGUAUAAUAAUAUUAAUGUCGUCAUGUUCCAAAUAACGUAUUUCGUAACGUUCCAAGCAUA
Long non-coding RNA from Manduca sexta (tobacco hornworm), 2463 nucleotides. RefSeq lists it as uncharacterized. The record is from RefSeq and is a predicted model, not a curated record. The transcript has 3 exons. Lineage: Eukaryota; Metazoa; Arthropoda; Insecta; Lepidoptera; Sphingidae.